UUGGAGGGCAAUUCUGGUGCCAGCAGCCGCGGUAAUUCCAGCUCCAAUAGCGUAUAUUAAAGUUGUUGCAGUUAAAAAGCUCGUAGUUGAAUUUCGGGAUCAAUAUAUCGGUCGUGCCUUGGUACGUACUGGUAUCAUUGGUUUCUCCUUUCUGACGAACCAUGAUGUCAUUAAUUUGGUGUUAUGGGAAGUUAGGACUGUUACUUUGAAAAAAUUAGAGUGUUUUACAUUAGCAUGGAAUAAUGAAAUAGGACGUUCGAACCUAUUUUGUUGGUUUCUAGGAUCAACGUAAUGAUUAAUAGGGAUAGUUGGGGGCAUUAGUAUUCAAUUGUCAGAGGUGAAAUUCUUGGAUUUAUUGAAGACUAACUACUGCGAAAGCAUUUGCCAAGGAUGUUUUCAUUAAUCAAGAACGAAAGUUAGGGGAUCGAAGACGAUCAGAUACCGUCGUAGUCUUAACCAUAAACUAUGCCGACUAGGGAUCGGAUGAUGUUAAUUUUUUAAUGACUCAUUCGGCGCCUUACGGGAAAC
RNAcentral lists this ribosomal RNA (528 nucleotides) under uncultured Glomus. RNAcentral's name for it is "SSU rRNA". It matches the Rfam family "Eukaryotic small subunit ribosomal RNA", at positions 548 to 1098 of the family's 1831-position model. Lineage: Eukaryota; Fungi; Glomeromycota; Glomeromycetes; Glomerales; Glomeraceae. The record is from RNAcentral.